GACGAACGCUGGCGGCGUGCUUAACACAUGCAAGUCGUACGGUAAGGCCCUUUCGGGGGUACACGAGUGGCGAACGGGUCAGUAACACGUGAGUAACCUGCCCACAACUUUGGGAUAACGCUAGGAAACUGGUGCUAAUACUGGAUAUGUGCCCCUGCUGCAUGGUGGGGGUUGGAAAGCUCCGGCGGUUGUGGAUGGACUCGCGGCCUAUCAGCUUGUUGGUGGGGUAGUGGCCUACCAAGGCGGCGACGGGUAGCCGGCCUGAGAGGGUGACCGGCCACAUUGGGACUGAGAUACGGCCCAGACUCCUACGGGAGGCAGCAGUGGGGAAUAUUGCACAAUGGGCGCAAGCCUGAUGCAGCAACGCCGCGUGCGGGAUGACGGCCUUCGGGUUGUAAACCGCUUUCAGCAGGGACGAAGCUUUUUGUGACGGUACCUGCAGAAGAAGCACCGGCUAACUACGUG
Molecule: ribosomal RNA, 465 nt
Filed under: uncultured bacterium
Lineage: Bacteria
Description: partial 16S ribosomal RNA
Rfam family: Bacterial small subunit ribosomal RNA
Source: RNAcentral